AGUGAACGCUGGCGGUAGGCCUAACACAUGCAAGUCGAACGGCAGCACAGUAAAAGCUUGCUCUUACGGGUGGCGAGUGGCGGGCGGGUGAGGAAUACAUCGGAAUCUACUUUUUCGUGGGGGAUAACGUAGGGAAACUUACGCUAAUACCGCAUACGACCUACGGGUGAAAGCAGGGGAUCUUCGGACCUUGCGCGAUUGAAUGAGCCGAUGUCGGAUUAGCUAGUUGGCGGGGUAAAGGCCCACCAAGGCGACGAUCCGUAGCUGGUCUGAGAGGAUGAUCAGCCACACUGGAACUGAGACACGGUCCAGACUCCUACGGGAGGCAGCAGUGGGGAAUAUUGGACAAUGGGCGCAAGCCUGAUCCAGCCAUACCGCGUGGGUGAAGAAGGCCUUCGGGUUGUAAAGCCCUUUUGUUGGGAAAGAAAAGCAGCAGGUUAAUACCCCGCUGUUCUGACGGUACCCAAAGAAUAAGCACCGGCUAACUUCGUG
Molecule: ribosomal RNA, 492 nt
Filed under: uncultured bacterium
Lineage: Bacteria
Description: partial 16S ribosomal RNA
Rfam family: Bacterial small subunit ribosomal RNA
Source: RNAcentral